AAAUAAUUAAACAACAGAAAAAAACAAAAAAAAGAAAGAAAUGUGGAUGGCCUUAGGACCUCACACUUGUGUAUAAGUUGACCCAACUUUCAAAUGUUAGAAUAAUAUAAUAUUCAUUAAAAUAAGUUGAUAAUUUUUUUAUGGUUUUAUAGAGUGACCAAAUCCUAUUCACUACGGGAGUAAAUAAUGGUUCUGCAAAUGAAAUUGGUAUUUUUGAGAUUAGUACCUAUUGAUAAUACAUCUUUAUCAUAUUUAGCAGAAAAUAUCAAAUAGAAAAGCUGUUGACAGUGCUGUAUUUGCAGAAAUUGAGCAAUGUUUCCAUAAUGCUUUAAAAGCACAUACUGAUGAAAUAAUACUGAUGCAAUUUCCCAGAGUCUGUAAGGCCUAAUGAAAAUUGCAGAGGCAGGAAAGAACAAAAGUUUUAUUCAUAAAAUAGAUCUAGAUGUACUCAAAGAAUAAAUCAAAAAAUAUCCAGAUGCACACUAGGCAAUGCUGUAAGUCUGGCACUUUAACAAAAUGUCAGACUUACAGCAUUGAAAACAUUGUGAUACAACACACAGGAAAUUGGAUGAAGAAAGCCAAAUGGAUGCAAUGUAGUCAUGUCAUGUCCAAUCACAUUUCUCUACAAUAUAAUUUUAUUGAAACGUUUAUUCAGCAGAAAAUAUCAACUAAAUAUUAAAAUUUUAUAUCAAUCCAGAAUCUCAACAAAAGUAUUUAACAAAGUUUAAACAAUAAAAAAAUCAAAAUCAAAACACACCACAG
Molecule: long non-coding RNA, 762 nt
Filed under: Androctonus crassicauda
Lineage: Eukaryota; Metazoa; Arthropoda; Arachnida; Scorpiones; Buthidae
Source: RNAcentral